This 119-nucleotide ribosomal RNA is filed under the name Triticum aestivum (bread wheat). Lineage: Eukaryota; Viridiplantae; Streptophyta; Magnoliopsida; Poales; Poaceae. The record is from RNAcentral.
AGAUGUGAUCAUACCAGCACUAAAGCACCGGAUCCCAUCAGAACUCCGAAGUUAAGCGUGCUUGGGCGAGAGUAGUACUAUGAUGGGUGACCUCCUGGGAAGUCCUCGUGUUGCAUUCC